Molecule: ribosomal RNA, 445 nt
Filed under: uncultured bacterium
Lineage: Bacteria
Description: partial 16S ribosomal RNA
Rfam family: Bacterial small subunit ribosomal RNA
Source: RNAcentral
GUAGGGAAUAUUGCGCAAUGGAGGCAACUCUGACGCAGCCAUGCCGCGUGCAGGAAGAAGGCGCUACGCGUUGUAAACUGCUUUUAACCGGGAAGAAACCCCAGGACGUGUCCUGGGUUGACGGUACCGGAGGAAUAAGCACCGGCUAACUUCGUGCCAGCAGCCGCGGUAAUACGAAGGGUGCAAGCGUUAUCCGGAUUCAUUGGGUUUAAAGGGUGCAUAGGCGGAGCGUUAAGUCAGUGGUGAAAUCCUGCAGCUUAACUGUAGACUUGCCAUUGAUACUGGCGCUCUUGAGUGCGCUUGAAGUGGGCGGAAUGUGCCGUGUAGCGGUGAAAUGCUUAGAUAUGGCACAGAACACCAAUUGCGAAGGCAGCUCACUAAGGCGAUACUGACGCUGAGGCACGAAAGCGUGGGGAUCGAACAGGAUUAGAAACCCCAGUAGUCC